Molecule: long non-coding RNA, 883 nt
Organism: Gymnodraco acuticeps
Lineage: Eukaryota; Metazoa; Chordata; Actinopteri; Perciformes; Bathydraconidae
Exons: 4
Source: RefSeq, a predicted model, not a curated record
CCAUCAGUGUAUCCUCGGUUAUAGCUCCUCCAGAGAGCCUCCUCGACGCUCGAUGCUCGAUCCUCGGUGUGCAUUUAGAGAAAUGAGACGUCCUUCAAAAUGGCGCGCUGAAAUUCAUUUCCGGGUCACUACCGGAGGACCGAGGAGUCGAGGAGGGGAAAUUUGAGUAUUGAGAAGCCUCUAUAGACUUAUAUGUCUAUGAUUAUACAUCCAUGGAACGACCAGACACAUGGCAGCAACGUUCCCAUCUGCUUCAUUCAUUUCUCCUGUUCAACAGAUAAUAAACCUGGUUGACAAGAAGGAAGUCGUUUUCAUUCGACACAACGCAGAGAUACAUGUGGCGUCAAUCCAGACCGGUUACACAAAGAAUGAUAAAUAGAGAAAACAGAUAUAAUUUGCUUAUUAUCUGAUUACCAGCUCUGCACAGCGGACUUGUAACACUAGCAGCAGUGGAGAUGGAGCAUCAGAACCUGGAGAAUACAGCAGCAACAACAAGGAUCCAUUUGGAGAUAGCUGCCUGCGCCUAGCAGCAAGAACCUCCAUCUGUGCCUGCACCCAGGUCAAGAUCUACCGUGGCUCAAGGGCCUUCACCAGAGCCAUCACCAUCAAGGACCAGAGGACCAGCAUCACUACAGCAGCCUCCACCUCCAUCUGUGCCUGCCACAAGAUUAAGAUACACCUCGGUACAAAGGCCUCCACCACAGCCAUCACGAUCAACCCAGCCAGCAAAGAAGUCUCGCCUAGCACACCUCCCUCCCUCCGACACAGCCACCAGCAGCCCAUGCACCAUCACCCCCACCUACACAGCAGCCAGACCCGGGUUGCGUUCCGAUAAUCCAAAAAUUAGCUCCUAAGUUCUAACCCUAUCUCCUAUUACUUGACC